RNAcentral lists this long non-coding RNA (495 nucleotides) under Rattus norvegicus (Norway rat). RNAcentral's name for it is "long non-coding RNA NONRATT018385". The record is from RNAcentral. Lineage: Eukaryota; Metazoa; Chordata; Mammalia; Rodentia; Muridae.
GAUUUUUGACAAAGGAGCCAAAACCAUCCAAUGGAAAAAAGAUAGCAUUUUCAGCAAAUAGUGCUGGUACAACUGGAGGUCAAGAUGUAGAAGAAUGCAGAUCGAUCCCUGCUUAUCACCCUGUACAAAGCUUAAGUCCAAGUGGAUCAAGGACCUCCACAUCAAACCAGAUACACUCAAACUAAUAGAAGAAAACAGGGGGAAGCAACUCAAACACAUGGGGACUGGAGAAAAUUUCCUGAAGAAAACACCAAUGGCUUAUGCUCUAAGAUCAUGAAUCUACAAAUGGGAUCUCAUAAUACUGCAAAGCUUCUGUAAAACAAAGGACACUGUGGUUAGGACAAAACGGCAACCAACAGAUUGGGUAAGACCUUUACCAAUCCUACAACAGAUGGAGGGCUUAUAUCCAAAAUAUACAAAGAACUCAAGAAGUUAGAACGCAGGAAGACAAAUAACCCUAUUAAAAAAUGGGGUUCAGAGCUAAAGAAAAAAUUC